This 671-nucleotide long non-coding RNA is filed under the name Equus caballus (horse). Its description in RNAcentral is "lncRNA (ENSECAG00000047666.1)". Lineage: Eukaryota; Metazoa; Chordata; Mammalia; Perissodactyla; Equidae. The record is from RNAcentral.
CAACAGGGAAGAACAUCUUCCUCCCAUCUCCGAGGAGGAGGGGCCCUUUCUCACCCGACUCUGGGUACCAGGGCCCGAGGACCACCCAGAACAGAAGCCCAAGACAUUGGGAGGGGACCCCCAGAUGGCAGGCUGAGCACCCGGGAAACGAGAGUUGCUUGGGUCCCCAGCCCACCGGCCUCCUGCUUUGGUGCCAUGAAGCUGAGUCUGUCUGGACAUCUCAGCACAGGGGCUCCCAGCUGGGGCUCUGUGCCCAGACUUCAGAAUCCCACGUCAUGACUGCCCAGACGGGCCACUCCCACCAGACUCGCGAGCCAGGAAAGAAUGGGCGUGCCGUCAGGACGCAGGCCCCACUGUGCGUCAGGCUCUGGACGUGGGAUGACCGGCCAUCCCAGACACUCCCUCUGAAGACACUGGACACACUCUAAGAAGAAAUUAGUACAGCAGGGACCUCACAGAGACAGGAAAGACUCUCACCGAAGAGGAGCAGGAUGGUUAAUCUACAUGUCCACUUGGCCCGGAUGCCGUCCCCAGUUAUUCAAUCAAACCCUCUCCUGGUGUUGCUGUGAACACAUCGUGUCCAUGUGGUUCAAAUCUACAAUCAGUUAACCUAACUAAGGAGAGCAUCCUCAGUAAUGUGGGUGGGCCUCAUCCAAUCAGUUGAAGACCUU